GCUGUGGAACUUCUACGGGAGGCAGCAGUGGGGAAUUUUGGACAAUGGGGGCAACCCUGAUCCAGCAAUGCCGCGUGAGUGAAGAAGGCCUUCGGGUUGUAAAGCUCUUUUGUCAGGGAAGAAACGGUAGUAGCUAAUAUCUAUUACUAAUGACGGUACCUGAAGAAUAAGCACCGGCUAACUACGUGCCAGCAGCCGCGGUAAUACGUAGGGUGCAAGCGUUAAUCGGAAUUACUGGGCGUAAAGCGUGCGCAGGCGGUUGUGUAAGUCAGAUGUGAAAUCCCCGGGCUCAACCUGGGAAUUGCAUUUGAGACUGCACGGCUAGAGUGUGUCGGAGGGGGGUAGAAUUCCACGUGUAGCAGUGAAAUGCGUAGAUAUGUGGAGGAAUACCGAUGGCGAAGGCAGCCCCCUGGGAUAACACUGACGCUCAUGCACGAAAGCGUGGGGAGCAAACAGGAUUAGAAACCCCGGUAGUCCUACCACGU
Molecule: ribosomal RNA, 485 nt
Filed under: uncultured bacterium
Lineage: Bacteria
Description: bacterial SSU rRNA
Rfam family: Bacterial small subunit ribosomal RNA
Source: RNAcentral